AUUUUUUACAGACGCCAUUUUCUUUGCUCGCGAUGCGCGCAUAUGAGGACGGAAUUCGGCGAAAUAUAUUGUAUAAUCUUACUCAUAAAAUGUGUUUUGUAAUAUCAUAUCGUUUUAUAACGACAUUUAUCUGCUGUGUGCACAUAAACUUUUCUCAAGGACAUUUCCUUUCACUCGCGAUGCGGAACAGACGAGGACGUCAUUUAUUUUCUAUAUGGGAAAUCGUAAAAGAAGGUUAAGUGUGUUUAAUAACAUCAUGUUGAUUUAUAGCGAUAUUUAUGUGCUUUACUCCAAAACUUUUUUCUCAAGAGAGAUAUUUUCUUCCACUCACGAUGGGGAGAAUACGGGGAAUCUGUUUCUUAUCAAAGGGAAACACCAUAAGUAACGUUAAGUGUUUUUACCUCGUUUACAUGUAUUUUAUAAGAUGAAUUUACUUUAUGAUGAUAUUUAAAUGCUGUGCGCGCCUAAACUAGCCUAACGGUUCCUCACAGAUUUGAAUCGCUGUACAGUGCAGACGCGGUUAGAAAAAGUAAAGACCAGAAAGAGAUAUUUUCUUUCACUCGCGAAACGGAGUAGACGAGGAAGUUGGUUUUAGGAAAACACCGAAAACAGAGCCCUGCUUCAGCGCAAUGAGAUUAGCAUGGAAUUCAGGAAUUGCAACCUAUUUUCCAGUAAGUCGGACUUUCUUUUUACAACAAAAAUAUAUACAUUUACAGUGAGUUAAAUGCUUUUACUUAAAGUGUUAAAGUUUAAGUGGGAGUGGAUUUCUCACUUAGCUGGAAACUGCAGACAUCUUGUCGUCCUGAAAAAAAGAAAGAGACUACUUUCUCCUAGGAGGUCCAAACGCCAUUGGCACAGACUUUGUUCAGUGAUCAGUAACAUACAUUCAGCCAGGGCCGUCCUUAGUGGGGUGCAACUGGAGCGGUCGCACCGGGCCCCGCACUUGAGGGGUAAACGGACUGGAUGAGCCCUCCCUCCGCCAACCCGGGAACGCUCCCUACUUCACACCGGGCCCCGAAUCAGCUAAGUACGGCCCUGCAUUCAUGGUUGAUGGUAGUGAAUAAGAUGCUGUGGUUUAAGCAGAUAAAUGUAAGCACUAUAAACCUGAUUAAAUUGAGAAUACAUAUGGACCAAAUACGUUUUUUGUGCCUUUGCACUGAUUAGCUUUGAUAUUGUUUUAAUUGUUGUAAAGUAUGUUCUUUAUAUGCACUGAAAACACUGAAUGUGAAGACAUUUUAGUGCAGUGAAAAAGAGUUACAAUGUUUCAAUUAAAAUAAAUAAGUGC
This is a long non-coding RNA of Cyprinus carpio carpio, 1285 nucleotides long. Lineage: Eukaryota; Metazoa; Chordata; Actinopteri; Cypriniformes; Cyprinidae. The record is from Ensembl.